This 731-nucleotide ribosomal RNA is filed under the name uncultured bacterium. Its description in RNAcentral is "bacterial SSU rRNA". It matches the Rfam family "Bacterial small subunit ribosomal RNA", at positions 10 to 751 of the family's 1533-position model. The record is from RNAcentral.
AGUUUGAUCCUGGCUCAGGAUGAACGCUAGCGGCAGGCCUAAUACAUGCAAGUCGAACGGUGUAGCAAUACAUAGUGGCGCACGGGUGCGUAACACGUAUGCAACCUACCUUAUACUUAGGGAUAGCCUUUGGAAACGGAGAUUAAUACUUAAUGGUAUAUUUAGCUGGCAUCGGUUAGAUAUUAAAGAUUUAUUGGUAUAAGAUGGGCAUGCGUCCAAUUAGUUGGUUGGUGAGGUAAUGGCUCACCAAGACGAUGAUUGGUAGGGGAACUGAGAGGUUAAUCCCCCACACUGGCACUGAGAUACGGGCCAGACUCCUACGGGAGGCAGCAGUAGGGAAUAUUGGGCAAUGGAGGGAACUCUGACCCAGCCAUGCCGCGUGCAGGAUGAAGGCGUUAUGCGUUGUAAACUGCUUUUAUAUAGGAAGAAACAGACCUUGCGAGGUAAAUUGACGGUACUAUAUGAAUAAGCACCGGCUAACUCCGUGCCAGCAGCCGCGGUAAUACGGAGGGUGCAAGCGUUGUCCGGAUUUAUUGGGUUUAAAGGGUGCGUAGGCGGUUUAUUAAGUCAGUGGUGAAAGACGGUCGCUCAACGAUUGCAGUGCCAUUGAUACUGGUAGACUUGAGUGUGAUUGAGGUAGCUGGAAUGGAUAGUGUAGCGGUGAAAUGCAUAGAUAUUAUCCAGAACACCAAUUGCGAAGGCAGGUUACUAAGUCACAACUGACGCUGAUG